UACGUAGGUGGCAAGCGUUAUCCGGAAUUAUUGGGCGUAAAGCGCGCGUAGGCGGUUUUUUAAGUCUGAUGUGAAAGCCCACGGCUCAACCGUGGAGGGUCAUUGGAAACUGGAAAACUUGAGUGCAGAAGAGGAAAGUGGAAUUCCAUGUGUAGCGGUGAAAUGCGCAGAGAUAUGGAGGAACACCAGUGGCGAAGGCGACUUUCUGGUCUGUAACUGACGCUGAUGUGCG
Molecule: ribosomal RNA, 232 nt
Filed under: uncultured Staphylococcus sp.
Lineage: Bacteria; Bacillati; Bacillota; Bacilli; Caryophanales; Staphylococcaceae
Description: partial 16S ribosomal RNA
Rfam family: Bacterial small subunit ribosomal RNA
Source: RNAcentral